Molecule: long non-coding RNA, 631 nt
Organism: Carassius carassius (crucian carp)
Lineage: Eukaryota; Metazoa; Chordata; Actinopteri; Cypriniformes; Cyprinidae
Exons: 3
Source: RefSeq, a predicted model, not a curated record
GGGUUUUAGCAUCAUUAAGACGAGUAGAUCUGGAAGGAACGGAACUGCGCAGGUUACGUCUUAGGACAGCCCGACGCCGACGUUACAGUGUACCAGCUCCCAACAGUGUGUGGCACAUUGAUGGGAAUCAUAAACUUAUUCGAUGGAGAAUUGUUAUCCAUGGGGGAAUUGAUGGCUUUUCCCGGCUUGUGGCGUACUUAAAAGUUGCCACAAACAACAAGGCUCAAACAGUGCUGCAAAGCUUCCUGUCUGCUGUACAAAUAUAUGGUGUUCCCUCUAGAGUGCGUUCUGACUAGGGGGGAGAAAAUGUAAUGGUUGCCCGCUUCACGAUAAGAACCAGAGGAGCAAACAGACACUCACACAUCACCGGAAGAAGUGUGCACAACCAGAGAAUUGAGCGGUUGUGGAGAGAUGUCUUUGACCAAGUAACAGACCUCUUCUACACCACCUUUCGUCGGUUGGAAGAUGAAGGAUGGCAUAAUCUGGACCAGGAAGUGGAUUUGUUUGCCUUGCACUGGUCUUACAUACCACAAAUUCAGAGGCAUCUACAAGAAUUUCAGAGUGCCUGGAAUAGUCACAGUCUAAGAUCUGCUGGCAACAGAACUCCGCUGCAGCUUUGGUCAAAUCAUGA